This 1924-nucleotide long non-coding RNA is filed under the name Anser cygnoides (Swan goose). RNAcentral describes it as "lncRNA (ENSACDG00005015909.1)". The record is from RNAcentral. Lineage: Eukaryota; Metazoa; Chordata; Aves; Anseriformes; Anatidae.
GGAGCCCAGCUCCCAAAAUCCACUCAGCAGCCACACCAGUGGGGAUUGUCAGACAUCGCACCUCAGGGAGGGAGGGACGUGGUGCUGAGGGGCGCUGAGGGGAACCCUACGGCUCCCGAACCGGGGCGUGACGGGAGAGGGGCGCUGAGGGGAACCGGUGCCCGGGGUCCCACUGCUCAGGGCGAGGGUUUUUUGAGGUGCCCUCCAGCCGAGGAAGGAGGGGGGCGACCGAAACCAAACACAGCUAGCCCCGCGACCCCCGCGGGCUCGCCCUGCGCCACAGCCGGAUCCCGGCGUGUGCCGGGGCCGGGGCCGGUCGGAGCGGCGCUCCCGCUCCCACUUCGCCUUGGCAGGGCACCGCCAUCAGACGGAGUGGGAGGAAGGAACAUUAACUCCAGCAGCUGUUUCUUGACCCCGGCUGUCAGCCUGCCCGAGAACACAUCAUCUGUGACCAGAAAGCACGCAGGCAUACCUGCACCACUGUCCUCAUCUGUGCCGAGAAGCCCUAAGAGAUGGAAAGCUUUGGCUGGCAAAGUGCUGAUCAUUAGUGCAGCUUGUGCUCAGGAAGUGCUCAAAGGACACGUGUACCUUUCACUGAAUGAUUAUGUUCUGGAGAAUAGGAGUGGGAGUUCCUGUAAUAGUUUGUCCAGUGUAUGCUUCUGUCUGUGCCAGCUUUGGGGGGCAGAUGAGACAGCAGUGACAGUGUCUCAGCACAAGCUUCUAGGUCUGAACUACAGAGGAAAGGAUGCUGGUAGUGGCUGUGCAAUCCUCUAUCUGAAAGUCCUGAGGUUACAGGGCACAUUUCUUUGAAAUCCACGAGGAGGCACUCAGCAAUUUAGAUAGGCUGGGGAUGACAAAACAGUUCCCAAAGUGACAGUGGGAUUGCGCCUUCCAGAUCUGGGGUUCAAGUUACCCACCUGCUUAUGUCCUACCACCGCUGUUCUCCUGGUUUCAUCACGUAGCUCUGGUGCUUGCAGGACCAAGGAGCUGCUGCAAUUCAAUUAAGGGACAAUUCUCUCUCUAAUUUACCUAAUAUCUUUGUGAUUGUAGAGAAUGUUGCAAACCAACCCCUUCCUUUGAUUACCCAAUCCUUAUCUGUUAGAAUUGCCUGCUGUGUGCGCAGCAUCUCUGUUUGCCUGUAUACAUCUCUUCAAGUCUGUCCUCUCUGAGCUUUGUAUUCUGCUGUAUUCUGUCCCUUCUGUAUUUUCCAGUGCGUCCCAGUCUAGGCUUAACAGACUUGGUUCAUGUGUUCUGGUAAUCCUGAAGUGAGUGUUAAGCUAUUUAUUUCAUCAGUGUUUGUUAACUAAAAGUUUAUUGUGAGUGGUAUUGAUAGUUACUUUCUGUUACUCAGACACAAUUCCUGCUAAUGGGUGUUCAGCUGGUAAUAACUUUGUGAGCCUCCUGGCUGAGAUUUUCCAGGCCAGUUGUCCACAUCCAAAUUAGACUUGUAAACACAGUCAUAUAUUGAAGUUAUAUGAUCGUGCAGCAUUUUUCACAGCACUCUUCACUCAUAAAUGGCCAGGGGGGACCUGCUUCCAGGAAUCAUGGCUUGUAAGAAGGGUGAGUGUUUUCUGUAGGACCUCUAACUUAUUUGGUCUAGAACUUAGAACGUAUUUGUCUGGUGAAUCAGGAUAUUGCUGACACAGAAAGGAUGUUUUAAUUAUUAAUACAGUUCAAUGCUGCUCUGGAAGAUUGGAUUAUGUCCCUGUUGCAGGAUUCAUGUGUGACAAGAAGCAAGUCAUUUAACCAAAUUUACCACAGGUGCUCAUUAACUGUGUCCUCCUCUUUUUCUGCGUUCUUGACCGGAGACUCUGAUUUGUGGAAUUUUUGAGUCCUCAUGGUUGCAAAGAAAAUUAGCACGGACUGUCCAUGGCACAUGUAAGUUCUCUGAAAAAAAUAAAGUCCUAGGCAUACCAAAUUAUCA